CCUGCCUCGGCCAGAGGUUUCAUUUUUAACUGAAUAUUUACGAAAGCUGAAAGCGUGCGAGGGGGGUGGGGUGGAAAUAGCGGCUGCUUCUUUUCCAAGGAUUUAUUUAAUGGGGAUGUGUUCAAGGCAAGACCGAAUUCAGAAGGAUAUCGACGUCGUGAUCCAGAAGUCCAGAGCUGAGGACUGCCUGUUUGCAGGGCCCGCCUGGCAGGACGACUGAGCAAGUUCUUGGAAAACCAGAGAUAUUAGAGCGGUGAAUCGCGCUGGUCACGUUGGACACCUGCGCGUUAGGAGAUUCUGGAGCCAGAGGGAGAGACCCCAGAAACGCCCCGGUCGGCGACCCAGCCCGAGACGCCUGGGGUCCCAAGGGAAGCUGAACGCCCGGUGGGCUCCCGGGAUGGUUCUUCCGGUUCUUUGUGCCGCCUUCACCCAGUGAAGGAGCCUGUAUCCACCCUGCCCAGUCGCUGUUGGGCUGCUGCGGAGCUUCCGCUGCCAUCUUCGGAUCCUGUGUUCCGCCCGGGGCUCCACCAGGGCAGGGAUGGUGGUGAGGGUCGCUCGUGGGUCCCCUGGCAGGGAGCAGGGUCUGGCACUCACAAGGGCGCACGACUAGGACUUGUCGAAUGAAUCCCUUGUCGCCUUUAGCUUUUAGUCCUUUGAAGAGAGGUGAGAGUGGAAAUCAAGAGAUUUUUUUCCACGGGGAAGUUCUUUUUACAAAGCGUUGAUUUCUUGGCACCCCGCGGGGCGGGCAACUGACACGACCUCCGGUGCACCUUCUGCGCUGUGGAGCCUCUGGGGCUCAGCUGGGCGGUGGUCGGGUCGUGGGGCGGUAGGGCGGGAGCGGGGGAAGGGAAAGCAAAAGCUGGAAAAGAAGCAGGGGAGUUGUGAACCAGACAUCCAGACCUCCUGAAGGGCUCGUGCAGACGUACAGGCGGGAUCUUCUGGAAGUGAGAAUUGUUUUUGUUUGUUUAUCUAUUGUAGCAGAAUGGGGAAAUGGAGAGAGAACCUGAAAGAGCCCCAAACUCGAGGACCUAUUGCUCCCCAAGAAUAACAUCUUCCAGAACUAGACAGAAAACUAGGCGUCUGGGAACCCUGAAAUCCUUGGAGGAGUAGAUCAUCAUGACCCUCUGUGUUCCUUUUGGCAAAUGACUUGCUUCCAUUGUUUGUUUGUUCAAUUGUCUGUUUGUUAAAUAAAUAAAACCCUUUUUAUGUAUCUUUAAAAUUACAUUGGUUCUAUUAUUUUAUGAUUACAAACGAUGCUGCAGUCAUCAUUCUUGUACACUUCUCAUUGGCCACUGGUGUAUUUCUAUAGGGUGGAGGCCUGGAGAGCAGUUGUUCCAGCAUAGUGUUUACAUAGCUUUUAUUUAAUUCCGUUUUCUUUCCUUUGUUGCUUUAUUAGCUAUAACCCUUCUCUUAUUUCAGUGGCAGCUUUAGGGUUUCUG
This 1439-nucleotide long non-coding RNA is filed under the name Homo sapiens (human). Its description in RNAcentral is "PREDICTED lncRNA (TCONS_00006983)". The record is from RNAcentral. Lineage: Eukaryota; Metazoa; Chordata; Mammalia; Primates; Hominidae.